UUAUGCCUAAUGAUUGGGUUUAAAGGGAGCGUAGGCGGACGCUUAAGUCAGUUGUGAAAGUUUGCGGCUCACCGUAAAAUUGCAGUUGAUACUGGGUGUCUUGAGUACAGUAGAGGCAGGCGGAAUUCGUGGUGUAGCGGUGAAAUGCUUAGAUAUCACGAAGAACUCCGAUUGCGAAGGCAGCUUGCUGGACUGUAACUGACGCUGAUGCUCGAAAGUGUGGGUAUCAAACAGGAUUAGAUACCCUGGUAGUCCACACAGUAAACGAUGAAUACUCGCUGUUUGCGAUAUACAGUAAGCGGCCAAGCGAAAGCGUUAAGUAUUCCACCUGGGGA
Molecule: ribosomal RNA, 335 nt
Filed under: uncultured bacterium
Lineage: Bacteria
Description: bacterial SSU rRNA
Rfam family: Bacterial small subunit ribosomal RNA
Source: RNAcentral